This 253-nucleotide ribosomal RNA is filed under the name uncultured bacterium. RNAcentral describes it as "partial 16S ribosomal RNA". It matches the Rfam family "Bacterial small subunit ribosomal RNA", at positions 524 to 776 of the family's 1533-position model. The record is from RNAcentral.
UACGUAGGGUGCAAGCGUUGUCCGGAAUUAUUGGGCGUAAAGAGCUCGUAGGCGGUCUGUCGCGUCUGCUGUGAAAAUCCAGGGCUCAACCCUGGACCUGCAGUGGGUACGGGCAGACUAGAGUGCGGUAGGGGAGAUCGGAAUUCCUGGUGUAGCGGUGAAAUGCGCAGAUAUCAGGAGGAACACCGGUGGCGAAGGCGGAUCUCUGGGCCGUAACUGACGCUGAGGCGCGAAGGCGUGGGGAGCGAACGGG